AAAUUGAAGAGUUUGAUCAUGGCUCAGAUUGAACGCUGGCGGCAGGCCUAACACAUGCAAGUCGAACGGUAACAGGAAGCGCUUGCUGCUUCGCUGACGAGUGGCGGACGGGUGAGUAAUGUCUGGGAAACUGCCUGAUGGAGGGGGAUAACUACUGGAAACGGUAGCUAAUACCGCAUAACGUCGCAAGACCAAAGAGGGGGACCUUCGGGCCUCUUGCCAUCGGAUGUGCCCAGAUGGGAUUAGCUUGUUGGUGGGGUAACG
This 264-nucleotide ribosomal RNA is filed under the name Escherichia coli. RNAcentral's name for it is "partial 16S ribosomal RNA". It matches the Rfam family "Bacterial small subunit ribosomal RNA", at positions 1 to 262 of the family's 1533-position model. Lineage: Bacteria; Pseudomonadati; Pseudomonadota; Gammaproteobacteria; Enterobacterales; Enterobacteriaceae. RNAcentral also lists the same sequence under 1 other name. The record is from RNAcentral.